GAGCGCAAGCAUCUGUUGAGCGCACGGCACCGGAGGACGCCGCGGCUCGGGAGCGGGGCUGAGCGCGGCUCCCUGGAAGCGGCACAUUGAUCACACGGCCGCGUGGCCAAUUAGCGGCAGGAGCCAGGGCCAGCCCUCGUGUCUGCGCGCUGCUGAUCUAUCGGCAGUAAUUACCGAGACACUUAAUGCCUAGUUUGGAUGGGAAUUAAUUCGAGGCCGGAUAAAUAAUGCAUUAGGGUUUAUUUAGUCCGGCGUGAAGCGUCGCCCCCGAGCCAGGGCUGGAGCGGCGAGCGGCGGCGAUGCGCGGGGCGGCGGCCGGGGCCGGGCGCUGAGGCUGCGGGCAGCGCCCAGCCGGGAGCAUGCUGAGCCCCAAGAUCAGGCAGGCCAGGAGAGCCCGGUCAAGGAGUUUGGUGAUGGGUGAACAGAUUGGGCCUCCCUCCAGACCAUCUUCUCCAAAUCCUCAAGAACGUGUGCUGAAGUGUGGCUGGCUAAAGAAACAAAGGAGCAUUAUGAAGAAUUGGCAGCAGCGGUGGUUUGUACUGCGUGGGGAUCAGCUCUUCUACUACAAGGAUGAAGAGGAAACUAAACCUCAGGGUUUGAUACUUCUGCAAGGCAGUCAGGUGAACGAGCUUCCACCUAAUCCGGAUGAACCAGGGAAACAUCUCUUUGAAAUUACCCCAGGUGGUGCAGGGGACCGGGAAAAGAUGCCUGUCAAUCAUGAGGCUUUCCUGCUCAUGGCUAAUUCCCAGAAUGAAAUGGAAGAUUGGGUGAAAGCCAUCCGACGGGUUAUAUGGGCUCCAUUUGGUGGAGGUAUUGCAAAUAGCUCAAAUGCACAUAAAUUAAAACAUUUGCCUCAAGGGAUCUUUGGACAGCGCUUGGAGGACACCGUACAGUACGAGCGGAAAUAUGGCCAGCGCUUGGCCCCACUGCUGGUGGAACAGUGUGUGGAUUUUAUUCGGGAGCGAGGUCUUACAGAGGAGGGGCUCUUUCGGAUGCCGGGACAAGCCAACCUUGUCAAAGAUCUGCAGGAUUCUUUUGAUUGUGGAGAGAAACCCCUUUUUGACAGCAACACAGAUGUUCACACUGUGGCGUCCCUCCUGAAGCUUUACCUUCGAGAGCUGCCAGAGCCUGUCAUCCCCUUUGCCAAAUAUGAAGACUUUCUUUCUUGUGGACAGCUACUCUCAAAAGAUGAGGGAGAGGGUACCCAGGAACUGGUUAAACAGGUGAAGAAUUUGCCCCAAGCUAACUACAACCUCCUCAAGUACAUAUGCAAGUUCCUUGAUGAAGUUCAGGCUCACUCCAGCAUUAACAAGAUGAGUGUCCAGAACCUGGCUACAGUAUUUGGACCAAACAUACUGCGGCCCAAAAUGGAGGAUCCGGUGACCAUGAUGGAAGGCACCUCGCUGGUUCAGCACCUGAUGACAGUGCUGAUAAGUGAACAGGGGCGGAUCUUUGCUGUUCCUCAGGGGGAUGUGCCAGGGAGCCAGCUGGAGAUCAGACCCGUGCGCCAGCGCAGCACUGUCGAGUGGAUCUCCGAGGAGGACGGGGAGGACAGCAGGUCACAGAACAGCGCUGCCAGCCCCGCUGAUUUGCCACCUGGCAAUGCUGUGGCUCUAGAGGCCACUCCAGGACCUGCAGUGAAAAUCACUCCUCCAGAGCACAGUGGCAAAUCGACUCAGCCUGCCACGAGCCCCAGUAAAAGAGUGCAGACACUGCCUCCGUGGAAAUAUUCCUUCCGCCAGCAGGGAGCACGCUCUGUGAGCCCAAAGCUGGGCAGCUCAUCCUUAGAUAUCCCCAACCUGUCCUCCAGUGGGAACUGGUUGAUGAACGGCCUGUACUCUCUCCGAGGCCACCGCCGGACAGCUUCUGGGGAACGAGUGAAAGACUCGUGUUCCUCCCAGAGACUCUCUACUUAUGACAAUGUCCCUUCAUCCAGCCUGUCCCUCAGCACACACAGCAUGGCCAGCACCACCUGGUCUACAUCAUCCUGUGAGAUCUCUGUGAUGGACUCGGUGAGCAGCUGCCCAGCCUGCCGGGCCAGUGACUCUUCUGCUUUAAGCUCCCUAAAAACCGAGUGGGUAACUCAGGGCUCGCUGUCUCAGAGCGAGGUCAAGACCGCAGAUCUGGAGAACAGCACGGACAGGUUUGAAGCCUGCAGCAGCAGCAGCAGUGAACAGAGUGACCCGGCUGCAGCUUCCCGAGACUCUGUCCAAUGCUCCAGGGCCUUACAGAGCUUGGUGGUGGAGCUAAAGACAGAACUGAGCAAACAGAGGACUGAGUAUGAGACUAGUAUCAAAAGAAUUGAAGAAACAAGUGCAGACCUGAGGAACCAAGUGGUUAGGUUAGAAGAAGAACUGGACCAAGAACGGAAGAAAUACACAAUGCUGGAGAUAAAGCUGAGGAAUUCUGAACGCGCUCGGGAAGAUGCCGAGAAGAGAAAUUACCUCCUGCAGAAGGAAAUGGAAGAAUUUUUUUCAACAUUAGGAUGUUUAACUGUUGGGAGUCAAAGUGCUAAAGUCCCCAAGUAGAACAAGUAUAGAAAAUCCUGUUCCUGAUAAAAUGAGUGAAAAUGCAUAUUUUGUUCUGGUAUACUCAUGUAUCAUGAGUAAUGCUAUAGUGAUUGUGCUCUCAGUGACACUUGCCCUGUUGUCUUUACAUGUGCUAUAGUAUUUGGGCCAGUUGGGAAAGACUGUGGACUACAAAGCUUGAAAAUUUAGUGUCAGAUUGCCAAGAAAGAGUGGGUCCCCUCUGUAUCCACAGAACUUAAGCUACUCUUCCUCCAGAGUGCCCUGCUGCCAUCUUUGGACUCAACUGCACCAUUCUUUUCCUGGCUCAAGAACAGUGGAAGGUCCUGCAGGGUGGGUGCAUGGCCAGAACCAAUAAACAAGCUGAGCCUGGAGCUGAGGGAUUCCCACACUUGUGCUUGGGAAGGCAGCAGUUCCAGUCUGUCACCACAGCUGGGAGGUUUGACAGACAGAUUUAAUGAGGUGGUUUUUGCCCCACUCCCUCCAUAAAGUUUGUUCAAAUUUCUCAUUCAGAGUGGUAUUAUUUUGUGAAGAUAUUAUGAAAACAAGGUCUGCAAACAUGCUGAGGAUAUCAAACUCUUGAAAAUUCACUAAAAUUGUCCCUUACCCACCAAAUGGUUUCACAAAAAUGCAGCUUUAAAUUAAACUUGAUUAAUAAUCAUAUUGAUUACACAAACUCUGUGGAACUUUAAAUAUGCACAUUUUGCCCUAGGUAUCAGGGUUUUCUGAGCCAAAAAUAGAGCAGUAUCAGCUGCAAGAAAAAAAAAAAAAUCUGAGUCAAUAGAUGUAUUAAGGUAGAAGAUGCAAGAUUCUUAUCAUCAAAACACAUCCAAACUUUAAUAGCAAAACUUACGUUCUUACAGGGAGAUGAGGGGACAGGAAGAAUACUGCAAACAACCCAUCAUCCCAAGUUCCUUACUUCUGCUAAGGAAAAAUCAUUAGAAUGAAGCUGUAAGUUCCGGUUAUUUGCUGACAGGGCUGACUUCCAUUCCAAGUGAUUUAAAGAAGUUCUGCAUAGCAUUUGUAACACCCUGAGCCAUGCAGAGCCUGCACAAAGAAAAUUGUUUCACCAGAUUCAGUUUGAAUUCCACAUGUGAGCCCAGCACUGUUCACUCUGUCUUGGCACUCUAUCUUUGACAUCCUGAGGUAGCUUGGGAGUUUCUAAGGAUAAAAGAAGUGCCACAACAACCUGAACUGGCUAAAGGGAAAGUACAGACUGUAACGAAGAAGACUGCUUUAUUUUAAGUAUUUUGAAAAACGCCCUGAAUCUCAUUUCUUACUCUAGAGAAGACUAUGACUCACUGUCUGGAAAUAACCUUAGAAUGGGUUUUUUACAUACCAGGAAAUAGUCAAUACUGAAAGAUAUACGUUCUCCUCAUCAUCUCACAGAUAUCCAGCUAUUUCAAUAUUUAAAACAUCUGGGUGUUAACUUGUUUCUACUGCACUGUAACACUUCUCCUUCCUAUAGAAAUGUAAAAAAUGUAAACAAAACCAAAAACAUUUAAAGCAAACAAAAAGCAAAAUUUUGACCUAAUCUUUCCUGGAUAAGGAAGGAAGCAAGCAAGAUGGUACAGUAAGCCAUGUGGAAAGGUUCAUUCAAUUAUUUCAAAACCUUUUUCCUACCUCCCAGGCUCUCCAGCUGCCCUGGAUUCAUUACUGCCCCUGGCAUGAGGCAGAUACCUGCAUGCUCUGCAGCAGCUGCCUGCUACCUGCAGGUAUGAGCAUCAUCCCCAUCUGUUUUUAACACCUCUGCCUUGGAUUCAUUACCAAUGGUCACAUGUGACCCUUUAAGGAAUAAGAUGGCCAUUUAAAACAGCAGCAUCAGAUGCAUAAUGUGAGAGAGAAGCAGUAACAGUGACUGAGCCGGAAGAGCAGAGUCUGGCAGGUAGCUGGAGGUACCAGGUCAGUCAUCACAAAAUAAACCUUAACUUGGAGGGUGGUCUGAACCAGGUUGUAAGUAGAACACCAGGACUGAUAAACAGCAACAUUCAAUCCAAGUACUAGUAGCAAGCAGGGUAUUUUAAUCCCUUCUUUUAUUUCUACCCAAAACACAGAAGCCUUUCUGUAUCCAUCCUGCCAGCCCACACCUCCCUUAUACCAUUUAUAUUGCAUUAUCUCCUGUAUGUAUCGAGUGCAGACUGCUCCCUUUAGUUCACACUACAAACUCAAGAACUGAGCCCUGCUGACAUCAAAUGACAAGACAAGACAUCAAAUACAGCAGAGACAAGCUUAACUCUCUUAAGUAUUUAACCUUAGGUAACUGCUAACAAACCCACCUAUCCCAAACUUGCAGAUCCAGGAUAGGAUCAUGAGCUCUACAGCACUACAUGAUCUGGUAUCCAAGAUAAAAUUAAUUCUUUUUGAUAUACAAAGAAACUCCAUCCACUCAAAAUGAGGCGUGAAAAAAACCAGUUCCAGACUGGCUCUUGCGCUCCAGCAACAUCUAUGGGUCUUGUUCAUGAGGAAUAAAUUUUGGCUGCUUUUGAAGAUGAGCCACUGCAGUAUAUAAACCUGGCAAGAAGCUGCAAACAUUGCAGUUCACACUAAAAUGCACCACAGUGGAUUUAGUUUAACUUCAAGUGCAGCAACAGGACCAUAACACUAGAUUCCUGAUAUGGGCAAUUAUGCAAGAAAUGAGAUCCACUUGUACAAAGCUUCAAAGAAGACUAUGCCCUUAUGAGGAAGAUGAUACACCCUUUCCUGCCUUUAAUUCCUGUUUCCAUACUCUUCCCCACCAAUACAUUUCCCCACAGCAAGCACUGGAGACCACUCCUUAUUUUGCAGAUGUUGCACUCAUUACCGUCCCUCAUCUAAAUGUCUGCUUUCUUAGCAAGUGUUUACACAAUACAGGUUUGGUUAUUAUUAAUUAAAUGUGACAGAAGGCUCCUGGAAUAGAUAAAUUAUUACCAGUUUCAUCUGUGCCAUCUUCCCAGCCUGGAAUAUCUCUUCCUGUAUUAUACAGGGAAAAAAAACAACCCAGUAAGAACUUUUCAGUGAAGAAAGAAAAACAACACAAGCAUAUGCUUUAAAAAAAAGCAAAACUGCAACACUUCAGAAUAACAAAGAAAACUUUGGUAGGCCAUGGCAUUUCUAACACAAAACCAGAAAUGAACAGGGAUAGCUUAAUGACUCAUCUAUGUUCACAAGGAAGUUCUACUGAAGCCAGCAGCAUUAUGGAGUGUUUCAGCCCCGAGCCACCAGACAAACUCUGGGCAGAGCUAUGACUUUCUCUGGCCUUGCUCUGCAAUAACAUAGCACUGGAAACUGGCUGCACUUUAUACUGACAUAUGCAAAUUAAGAAGAGCAUUUCUGAGUGCCACCACUCCUAGAAGAGCAUCUCAUAAACUGCUGGCCCAGAUAAAAAAAGCUGGCUACAGUGUGGUCACAGUUGCUUUCCCUUGAAACUGGACACAAAGGCACCACCAACACAGCUCAAGUGCAGCUCUAGUCAUUAAAGGAAGCACUGAAAUCCUGCUGGAAGUGAAGGCAAUCAAAUACAUUAUGUUGGGACUUACCUGUGGGAGAAGUGCCAGUGCAGUGAGUGGUCCAGGCAUCCAAGUCAGCUCUCCAGAAGUCAGAUCCUUCAGGCUUCUCCAAUAUGCAGUGUUGAGACUCUCCCAUACAGUAGGCAGCCCAUGGCUUACCUUUCAGCAGCACAGGCUCUCAUCAACUGUAGUUCCAGGAAUUCCUGGAAUAUAGUUCCAGCUAGAGCUGGCAGCAAGGAAGCAAGAAUGGAUUCCCACUUGAAGCAAAGACCCUGAACCUGUGGCUGUUAACAGUCUGUGGCACAUCCAAAGUCCAUGGGAAUGGAGAAAUGGAAAAAAACGUCACUUUGCCCACAAGUGAGCUCACACACAAGACAGGACACUACCAUUAGAAAACAGAAGAAUUCUCAGGAAGGAGUCUCACUGAUAAGAUUUCAAGUGCAGCCCUAUUACGCAAUCCAUAUGAAAUCCAUCGCAGCCUGGCAAUGAAGAAACACUAAAUGCAUGGUGGUCAAACAUUUUUUUUUCUUUUUUAUUUAAAAUAUCAUUAUAACCAACUGACAUACUAGAUAACAAUGUAUACAUUCCAGUGGUGCACAUGUAAUGACCUAUGGCAUGAAUGAGUUAAAAAAACCCCACAAUGUUCUCAGUAAUGCCCACCAACAGCUUAUUUGGAGGGAAUAAAAGAAAAGCAGGAAAAGGUAUCAAAUGUGGGGAAGAAAAAAAAUUAGUUUUCCCCAGUAUUUUUAAUGGUGUAUCUUCCCCUUCAUAUUUCUUGGGACAUAAUAAAAUUAAGAAUAUACUUCAAAAAGGGCAGAAGGAAUGAUCACAAUAAUUGGGGUGGGAUUUUUUUUCUCAACUUUAGUAAUAAAAGUUAAAGAACUCUCAAAAAUAGACUAGAUAUUGGGCCUACAAAAGUAAUUCAUCUGUAUGCAAAGCUUACCAAGAAUUUUUCCUUUUGUAAAAUGUAAAGGAUGAGCUGACAUUACUAGUAAGCUAUUUUUACCCUACAAAACCAGACUACAAUAAUAAAAUCACCAAUUUACAGCUAACACAAUAAUCUAGAUGUACAUUACUGUACACAAGCUCUAUAUUACACAUGAACAUCUUACAUGAAAUAGAUAAGAAACAUACUGAUAUUGUCUCAACAUUGGCCAAUAUGUUUGUUUUUCUAAUGGAGGUGUAUUUUCUAUUCACAUUCAGUGUAGUUCCAAUAGCAAGGGUUAGCUUUGCUUACUUAAGAAACGUAGAAAGUUUGUGUGAGGUAGUUCAAGAAAACCUAGCUUAAAUUUUGAACUGCAGAAGAGAAACACAAUGUGAUCUGAUUCGUAACACAUUUCUCUAAUGUAGACAUACAAAGAGAAGGGAGUGAGAGAGACCACGUAAAAUACCACUUUUAUCCAGUGCCCUUAACUAAGAAUAAAUUAAAUUAAUUGAAAAUUUGGAUAGGCAGUACAGUCUUAUCACACUGCUUCAUUAAAAAUCUCUUUCUAAUCCUACUGAAAAAUACAAACAGGCUCUUCUUCAACUGCACCAAACCACUGACAGGAAAAUGACAGGAAAAUAAAAUGUAACAGCAUGGACAAGCUGCUGCCAACAGCAAAUAAAUCUAGAAACUGUAAUUCCCUCCCUUUAGCAACUUGAAGGAGUAAGACUGAGUACAAGCUGAACCUUCUCCCUCCCUUUUGCCCAUGAACUUUAUCAAGAAACAUUUGCUGUCCUACACUUUGGAUUACCGGCUGAGGAGGACCAUCCUCCUGUAGGAGUUUUUUGACAUUUUUUCUUCAUGCACUGCUGAGCUGAAUCAAUCAAUCUGUCCGUCUGUCCGUCCAUCCUCCUCCA
Non-coding RNA from Cyanistes caeruleus (blue tit), 7852 nucleotides. NCBI's taxonomy places the organism in Eukaryota, Metazoa, Chordata, Aves, Passeriformes, Paridae. The record is from RefSeq and is a predicted model, not a curated record.